Molecule: ribosomal RNA, 492 nt
Filed under: uncultured bacterium
Lineage: Bacteria
Description: partial 16S ribosomal RNA
Rfam family: Bacterial small subunit ribosomal RNA
Source: RNAcentral
AGUGAACGCUGGCGGUAGGCCUAACACAUGCAAGUCGAACGGCAGCACAGUAAGAGCUUGCUCUUACGGGUGGCGAGUGGCGGACGGGUGAGGAAUACAUCGGAAUCUACUUUUUCGUGGGGGAUAACGUAGGGAAACUUACGCUAAUACCGCAUACGACCUACGGGUGAAAGCAGGGGAUCUUCGGACCUUGCGCGAUUGAAUGAGCCGAUGUCGGACUAGCUAGUUGGCGGGGUAAAGGCCCACCAAGGCGACGAUCCGUAGCUGGUCUGAGAGGAUGAUCGGCCACACUGGAGCUGGGACACGGUCCAGACUCCUACGAGAGGCAGCAGUGGGGAAUAUUGGACAAUGGGCGCAAGCCUGGUCCAGCCAUACCGCGUGGGUGGAGAAGGCCUUCGGGUUGUAAAGCCCUUUUGUUGGGAAAGAAAAGCAGCAGGUUAAUACCCCGCUGUUCUGACGGUACCCAAAGAAUAAGCACCGGCUAACUUCGUG